Paramuricea clavata is the source of this 237-nucleotide non-coding RNA. Lineage: Eukaryota; Metazoa; Cnidaria; Anthozoa; Malacalcyonacea; Plexauridae. The record is from the annotation of a GenBank genome assembly.
CCCCUUUCUUACACCCCACCCAUUAUCUCAUCUUCCCCCCUUUUCCCAAAACCUCACUAAUCCCCAAACCUCGUUAAAUUAAUCCCCAAUUCAAAUCAUUUCCCAAAAACUCCGUCAUUUCCCAAACCUCAGUACUUUCCAAACCUCAUCUCCCAAACGUUAUUGUAUAAGACCCAUUAUGGUGUUACGCGAUUGUGUCUGGGGGUUGCUUGGACGCGUUCUUUGGAGGGAAAGCAC